Molecule: ribosomal RNA, 2899 nt
Filed under: Roseburia sp. AF25-15LB
Lineage: Bacteria; Bacillati; Bacillota; Clostridia; Lachnospirales; Lachnospiraceae
Description: partial 23S ribosomal RNA
Rfam family: Bacterial large subunit ribosomal RNA
Source: RNAcentral
AGGUCAAGCGAAGAAGAGCGCAGGGUGGAUGCCUUGGCACUAAGAGCCGAUGAAAGACGUGAUAAGCUGCGAAAAGUCACGGGGAGGAGCAAAUAUCCAUUGAUCCGUGAAUAUCUGAAUGGGGAAACCCACAUGAGAAUACCUCAUGUAUCCAUACGCCAAUCCAUAACGUAUGGAAGGGAACCCGGUGAACUGAAACAUCUAAGUAGCCGGAGGAAGAGAAAGAAAAAUCGAUUUCCAAAGUAGCGGCGAGCGAAAUGGAAAGAGCCCAAACCGGAGUGCGUGCAUUCCGGGGUUCGGACCGCAUAAUUGAUUCAGCAAUUCCAGCAGAACUGUUUUGGGAAAGCAGACCAGAGAGGGUGAAAGUCCCGUAAGCGAAAGAAGAGCUGACAUGGCGGUAUCCAGAGUACAUCGAGACACGAGAAACCUUGAUGGAAUAAGCGGGGACCACCCCGUAAGGCUAAAUACUACUUAGUGACCGAUAGCGCAUAGUACUGUGAAGGAAAGGUGAAAAGGACCCCGGGAGGGGAGUGAAAGAGAACCUGAAACCCUGUGUUUACAAGCUGUGGAAGCACUUUAUAUGUGCGACCGCGUACUUUUUGUAGAACGGUCCGGCGAGUUACGCUUACUGGCGAGGUUAAGGACUUAAGGUCCGGAGCCGAAGGGAAACCAAGUCUUAACAGGGCGAGUUUAGUCAGUAGGAGUAGACCCGAAACCGGGUGAUCUAUCCAUGUCCAGGUUGAAGAUGCCGUAAAAGGCGUUGGAGGACCGAACCCACAUCCGUUGAAAAGGGUGGGGAUGAGGUGUGGAUAGGGGAGAAAUUCCAAUCGAACCCGGAGAUAGCUGGUUCUCCUCGAAAUAGCUUUAGGGCUAGCCUCGUUUUAGUCUUGUGGAGGUAGAGCACUGAAUUUCCGCGGGGGCGUCAAAGCUUACCAAAGAAUAUCAAACUCCGAAUGCCAUUAAGAUGAUGAACGGGAGUCAGACUGUACGAGAUAAGUUGGACAGUCAAAAGGGAAAGAGCCCAGACCACCAGCUAAGGUCCCAAAGUGUGUGUUAAGUGGAAAAGGAUGUGGGGAUUCAAAGACAACUAGGAUGUUGGCUCAGAAGCAGCCAUUCAUUCAAAGAGUGCGUAACAGCUCACUAGUCGAGAGUCCCUGCGCCGAAAAUGUCCGGGGCUGAAACACAACACCGAAGCUGUGGAAUCAUACCUAGUAUGAUUGGUAGAGGAGCAUUCUUAAGACCGACGAAGCUGUACCGAUAAGGAGCAGUGGAGGGAUAAGAAGAGAGAAUGCCGGAAUGAGUAGCGAGAGGAAGGUGAGAAUCCUUCCGGCCGAAUAUCCAAGGAUUCCAGGGUAAAGCUGAUCUGCCCUGGGUAAGUCGGGACCUAAGGAGAGGCCGAGAGGCGUAUCCGAUGGACAACAGGUUUAGAUUCCUGUACCACAUAUGGUCAGAACUGUGGGGACGCAGAAGGAAAGCAUGAGCCAGGAAUGGAAAUACUGGUACAAGCAGAGGGGAUGGUGUGCUGGCAAAUCCGCACACAAAAGUCCUUGCUGUGAUGUGGAGCGAACUAGAGUAGCGAAGCAUGCGGACCGGCUGCCGAGAAAAGCCGCUAUUGUGCCAUAUGUGCCCGUACCGUAAACCGACACAGGUGGAUGAGGAGAGAAUCCUAAGGCCGACGGAAGAAGUAUUGUUAAGGAACUCGGCAAAAUGACCCCGUAACUUCGGGAGAAGGGGUGCCUGAGAAAUCAGGCCGCAGAGAAUAGGCUCAAGCAACUGUUUAGCAAAAACACAGGUCUAUGCAAAACCGAAAGGUGAAGUAUAUGGGCUGACGCCUGCCCGGUGCUGGAAGGUUAAGAGGAGAGGUUAGCGCAAGCGAAGCUUUGAAUUUAAGCCCCAGUAAACGGCGGCCGUAACUAUAACGGUCCUAAGGUAGCGAAAUUCCUUGUCGGGUAAGUUCCGACCCGCACGAAAGGCGUAAUGAUUUGAGCACUGUCUCGACAAUACAUCCGGUGAAAUUGAAGUACCAGUGAAGAUGCUGGUUACCCGCGCCAGGACGGAAAGACCCCAUGGAGCUUUACUCCAGUUUGGUACUGGGAUUCGGUACUGCAUGUACAGGAUAGGUGGGAGACGAAGAAGUUAGGACGCCAGUCUUAACAGAGUCGCUGUUGGGAUACCACCCUUGCAGUAUUGGGUUUCUAACCAGCCGCUGUGAACCAGCGGUGGGACAAUGCCAGGCGGGGAGUUUGACUGGGGCGGUCGCCUCCGAAAGGGUAUCGGAGGCGCUCAAAGGUUCCCUCAGAAUGGUCGGAAACCAUUUAAAGAGUGCAAAGGCAGAAGGGAGCUUGACUGCGACACCGACGGGUGGAGCAGGUACGAAAGUAGGACUUAGUGAUCCGGUGGCAUAAAGUGGGAUUGCCAUCGCUCAACGGAUAAAAGCUACCCUGGGGAUAACAGGCUUAUCACUCCCAAGAGUUCACAUCGACGGAGUGGUUUGGCACCUCGAUGUCGGCUCAUCGCAUCCUGGGGCUGUAGCAGGUCCCAAGGGUUGGGCUGUUCGCCCAUUAAAGCGGUACGCGAGCUGGGUUCAGAACGUCGUGAGACAGUUCGGUCCCUAUCCGGCGCGGGCGUAGGAUAUCUGAGGGGAGCUGGCCUUAGUACGAGAGGACCGGGCUGGACGGACCACUGGUGCAUCAGCUGGAUACCAAAUCCAUAGCUGGGUAGCCAAGUCCGGAAGGGAUAAACGCUGAAGGCAUCUAAGCGUGAAGCCCCCCCCAAGAUGAGAUGUCCCUGUCUAUAAGACAGUAAGACCCCUGAAAGAGUAUCAGGUAGAUAGGGCAGAGGUGGAAGCACGGUAACGUGUGGAGCUGACUGUUACUAAUCGGUCGAGGGCUUGACCAAA